This 306-nucleotide ribosomal RNA is filed under the name uncultured bacterium. RNAcentral describes it as "bacterial SSU rRNA". It matches the Rfam family "Bacterial small subunit ribosomal RNA", at positions 28 to 345 of the family's 1533-position model. The record is from RNAcentral.
GACAAACGCUGGCGGCGUACUUAAGACAUGCAAGUCGAACGGGUGUCCUGCUUUCGGGUGGGAUGCUAGUGGCGGAUGGGUGAGUAACGCGUAGGAACCUGUCGUUAAGUGGGGGAUACCGCUGGGAAACCGGCGCUAAUACCGCAUGUGGUCGAGCGAUCGAAGAAAGCAGCAAUGCGCUUGAUGAGGGGCCUGCGUCCGAUUAGCUAGUUGGUGGGGUAAAGGCCUACCAAGGCGCGAUCGGUAGCUGGUCUGAGAGGAUGGUCAGCCACACUGGGACUGAGACACGGCCCAGACUCCUACGGG